Drosophila mojavensis is the source of this 567-nucleotide long non-coding RNA. RefSeq lists it as uncharacterized. The record is from RefSeq and is a predicted model, not a curated record. Lineage: Eukaryota; Metazoa; Arthropoda; Insecta; Diptera; Drosophilidae. The transcript is spliced from 2 exons.
ACAAAUUAAAAACUAAAAAAAAAUAUAUAUAUAUAUGUAUGUACCAUAUAUAUAUGUACUAUAUACAUAAAUAUAAGACAAGUAACAGACCUUCAAUAAGUACCAACACAAUAUUUUGAUGAAUGAUAUCUCCGAUUUUGGUUUCCGUGUGCUAAUACAAUGAUAUCGGCAGAGAAUUUAUACCCGGCUUGACAUACACACAACUGGAUAUUACUCGGACUGUAAGUUGACUAAUAUAUACACGUACAAGUUCAGAAACGCAAACAUGGAUUUUGAUUAGGACGAUGGCGAGUUCGUUGCUUAUCUUUAAUCUACCAUCUCACAUUUAUGCAUGAGUUCUUGGCUAUUAUACGAACGCCUGGGAAUCAUCUCGAUCUAUCUUUAUUCCAAGGCUUCAAUGAUUCAAUAAUGCUACACUGUCAUCUGUUUCACUUGUUUACGCUCAGUGGCUUCUUUCGAAAACUGAACUGGAAUAGUUUUCUGGUAUAAAAUUUAUUGUUUGUUCGGAUGGUGGAGUUGUAAAUUCUGGUAUCAAUUAUAUAAUAAAUGACCUUUGGCUCUAAAAAA